UUGCUAUUUUUAUUUAUCAAUUAUUGCUUGCACAAUCUAUUUAUUUAGACUUUGAUUUCCUCAUCAGGUGCCGUUGCACCAAUCCAACGUAACCACUAGUGACAUUUGACUCCAGUUCACCAAUCAAUCAGCACAAGGCACUCACAUGACUGCAUACAAAGUCUUCUAUUGGGCUUCGCGGGCCUGCUAAUGUGACUGCCAACUGGUGUGAUGCGCACCUGAUGCAGAUUAGGAACCACGAAAACUGUAGAGACGCUGCCCGAUCCCAGAUCAGUUGGUGACUAAAGCUCUGUGACUGCCAUCUGUGCUCAAGACAUCAGGCAGGUGAUACAAGUACUGUUGUCGGGUAAAAAUGAGGGAAACCCUUUUUAUACAUCAGAAGGGCCAACGUGUGUCCCUGUUGUCAAAUAAUGACUCUGGCUCCUGGUCAGAUUUCAGAUUCACCAUUUUUGAUUUAUUAACUAAAACAAAUAAUACAAAAACAUGGAAGUAUGGCAAAAGCUAAAAAAACUGGAGAGCAGAGUCUAAUAGCAGGAUCAGCGCCUGGAGAAGACUGAAGAUGUCUGUAAUUUGCUCUCCUCUUUAUCACCUGUGUCCUUGGGGGUGUUAGGGUUAGGGUUAUGUUUGUGCCAGAGUCCAUCAGCUUCUUCAUUUCUUACAUAGCCUCAGGGUAUCUAGAGUUUGUAAAAAUAUUAUGCAAAUUUUCUACAGAGGGACAAUUGAGUCAGUCCUCUGUUGUAACUUCACCUGCUGGUUUGGUAAUUAAACAGAGAUUUCUGACCUAUUGAGGACUGCAGGUAAAAUUAUGGGAAUAAUGAUCCCCCGUUAUCCAAAGGACCUUUGCGACCAGUCGACUAUCAGACACGCAAAGGCCAUAUUUUAAGACAGAACUCAUGUGUUGAACUGCAAAUUUGUUCUUUGGAAUUCUAGGAAGAGAUGUAGGCUUCCCUAGUGCAGACACAACCAGUACAAACAUUCAUUUGUCCUUGUCUCAAUCAAGCUACUUAAAAAACAGAAAUGAAUGUGAGGGCUCUGUAUUCGGAAUUGAAUGUACUACAUUUAUGACUCCAGCCAAUGUAUGGAUGUACUGUAUGCGAAUGAAUGGACCAAUGAAUGUUUGUAAGGGUGUCGGGAUAUGUGACUGAACCUCUUUUUAUGACAAAAACGGAUGUUUCGGUAUGUUCAGUUGAUAGCGCUGGUUGUUAAGUGACCAAAGGGUCGACAGUUCGAAUCACGGCUCCGACUGUCCGCUGUCAAAGUGUCCUUGGGCAAGACCCUGAACCCCAAAUUGCUCCCAUGGGGCCUGGCAGUGCCUUGCAUGGCAACAGCCACCCACUGGUGUAUGAAUGUGUGUGUGAAUGGGCGAAUGUGUGAGCAUCUAUAAAGCUCUUUGAGCACCAUGAUUGUGUAGUUUGAGCGCUAUCUACUGUAAGUGCAACCCAGUUAUAAUUUUAAAAUGAUCCAAAUGUUAGUGUGGAGGCUAUGAGCUGGUAUGGAUGUGUAUUAGUGGCAGUGUUGUGUAGUUCGUCAAGAAUCCUACAUUUCUGACGCGUAUGUACGUUUAAUACCACGGCAACAAUCGAACGAUAUCCAACAUAAGAUGCUGUGUAUAUUUAAAAAAAAUCUAUUUAAUGUUACUUAACUCAAAUUUAAAGAUUAAAACUGAAGAUACGUAGUGUAUGUACAGUAUGUAACGUGUUUUCUGACGUUGCCAGGUGUUAAAGCUUACCUUCCAACUAAGUGUUCAGAACACAAACUGCUGUAUGAACUCGGUAUGUGGUGAGAUCAGCUUUGCUGAUUCGUGAAAGCUACAAUUGCUGUCCUUUCCUUGACAAAUGUUCAGUCUUUUUGCCCUGACUCCAAAUUAGUGCUGGUAAAUGGCGUCCUGAGACGGUGUCCUUCCAUUUUUUGAUGUUGGGUAUCAAAUUGAUCUAUUCAAAUACUGAAUGGACAUGAAAACAAAGUAAACAACCCUAACCUAAGUUUAGUGUACUGUCGUCAGAACCUUGAGGGACCCCUGCUGUUCCUCUAUUUCUGAAUGUGAAGACAGGAACCCUGUGGAUUUUAAGAUGUGUUUUGGGCAAUUAUUUGUCUGAAGCAGAGUUUUGAUGAUUUAGAAUGAAGGUCAUUGAAGUAAUGUUUUUUGUGUGUUUUUGCUGAUAUACAUUUUUUAUGCCUGUUAUUCAUGGAUGAGUCAUCAAUUUGUACUUGUGGGCAGCUGGAAAAGUUCCAAUGGACUUAAAAAGCAUGUAAGAACAUUACGGUUCCUUAAAAAAAGCAUGGUGCAGAAAAAGAUUGAGAUAAAGUUCUAAUUAGGCAAAUCAGACAAAGCGUAACUUUUCUAAUUGUUCCGGCGCGCCUUUUGUUUAGUGGCCGUGUGAAUUCAUGAAGUCCUUAUCUUGAUUUGCCCCCUCCUCCACCAGGAGAGAACACGUGGAGGACACGUUUCGGAAACAUGCUGUUUGUUUUUAUUUCUUCUUUUUCCUUUCACCCUAAUUUGAAACCAUAACACUAGUUUGAAAUCCUAAUUUGCAACACUAAUUUGUAAUCCUGACUUUGUCUUUAACCUCUAAUUUGAAACCAUAACUUGAAACCUUAACCGAGGUUUGAGAACUAAAUUUGACACCUUAAUCUUGGCUUCAAACACGAAAUUGAAUCCCUAUUCGUUUUUUUGUUUUUCCCCCCCCACCCCUAACCCUGGCUUUAAACCCUAAUUUGAAACCCUAAAUUGAGACCUUAACUAUGGCUUAGGACCUAAAUUUGAAACCCUAACUCAAAACCCUAUACCUGACUUGAAACACAAAGUUGAAACCCAAACUUGAACGCAUAACCCUUGGCUUAAUUCUUGUAAAAUUUCACAUUCAUUCUCAUGAAAUUAUUAUUGUAAAAUUGCAGCUUUAUUCUUUGAUCACAACUUUUGUCUCUAAAAAAAUGACUUCUUUCCCCAGUAAUAUUACAACUUUAUUCUUCUAAAAUUAAGCCUAUUCUCAUAAAUGUACGACUUUGUUCUGUAAUAAUAAUGUUUAAUUCCCCUAAAAUUACAUAUUUAUUAUUUUAAUAUUACAAAUUUUGGCUCGUAUUUUUUUUUUCAGAAAUAUCAUGUCUUUAUUCUUCUGAAAUAACUAUCAUUCUUAAAUAUGCCAAGUUUAUUCUUAGAAAAUUCUGAAAAUUAUUCUUGUAAAAUUUCAACUUUAUUCUCAUGAAAUUACAGCCUUUUGCGCCAUCAAAUUGUGAUUUAUUUUUUUUUCAAAUCUUUUGACUGUCAGUUCUUUUUAACAUGGCCUCUAUAGUAGUAGUUCAUAAAAUCUGACAUUGAGAGUAUUGUACAUUUCAUUCUUGUAUAAACUGACCAGAAUGAAUAUAGACAUUGAAUUGUCAAAAGAGAGGAAAUGUCAUAUUUCAUAGGAGGUGCGUAGGGAUGAAACAAACGCAUACAAAGACAAAAUGGACAUAGGGACAGCUUAACGGCAAGAGAACGGAAGGCGAGCGAGAGCUUUUGUGGCCUGUCAGAGUGAAGGGCGUGAAAUGAACAGAGCCCAGGGGGCCCCGCUAGAGUGUGUCCUGCAUGGGAAUGAGUGCCACUGGGUCAGCGUGGAAGCGGCUAAAAAGAAGAGAGAGACGGUCAAGGCCCAUUAAGCCGGCCGGGAUGGCGGCUCGCUCCGGGGCGGCACGGAGAGGCGGCGCGGAGAGGCAGCCCAUGUCCUCGCUGAUGGGGAAAAUGGAAAGUUUUCAGGGGCCAACUUCUCCAACACCCUCACAAAUCAAAGCCCCCGCAUGCCUGCACGUACCACAGCACCAGGCCUCUGCCAGGCUUCGCAUCCGCCCGCCCACCUCUGAUGCGCCGUGUUGCUGCAGAGCGAGUCAACCUGGCCCAGGGGCAGGAACGUCCAAACGGCCGCACGGCAGCAGACUUUUGUCUCAGGAACAGGACCGCGAGCGUAACCAUGCCCAUACAGGAGGUCAUUAAACAGUACCUGUCGGACCUCCUCCACCCAUAAACUCCAUCUGGGGUCUUCCAGCUCUGGUCUUCUCUCCUUCCCGCACACCCCCCUGCGAACCUUUGGGGCCAGGGCCUUGAGCAUGGCAGUCCUCGCUCUGGAACUCUCUCUCCUCUGAGAUCCGCAACGCUCCAUCGCAGGACAUUUUCAAGCAAAACCUCAAAACUCAUCUGUUUCACACAGGUUGUGAUGUUUAGUGUCCUUUGUUCUGUUUUUUUUUUUAUGUCCACUUGUGUAAAGCAACCUUGGGUUCUGUGAAAGUUAUUAUUAUUAUUAUUAUUAUUAUUAUUUAGCCUUUGCUAAGAACGACUAAUAUUGUCGUACUGAGAAGCCGAGUGAGGAGCUGAGCCUCCAGUAUAGCAUAUCAUUGCAUGUGUGAACAUAAAGAAAAGCAUUUUAAAAGAAAAUACGUUUAAAUGCUUUUUGAGAAUUUUGAAAAAACAUAAAAUAAAAUAAAAUUAAAUAAUUUAACAACAACAAAAACGCACAUGGAGAUAACAUAACGAAGAAAAAGAGACUUUUCCAAAUGAAUUGCGCUGACAUGAAUAAGGCAUCAUUCUGGUCUGGUUUGUCAGGAAGUAGCUUAUCUGUCUUUGAAAGCAGUCGUCCAAUCAGGUGCGACCAAGGCCAUCGUGCCUCCAGUCUCUGCUUGCUGGGCCGCCAAAGUUUUGGACUUUUAUUUGGAUCCACAUGAGUGCGAGCUCAAUAAUCCUCCAAAAUUAAUCUCUCAUUGAUUAACGACUCAGGGCUUAAAGUACCUCACUGAGUGCCAGUAAUGCGUGCAACAGCGCUCCUGAUAAUAACAAAGCAUUGAAGUUUAGUCGCCGACAGAAAAGUUCUGCUUCUUUACGGCUCGUUUGCGCCGAGAUCGAUGGCGUACGUGCAUGAUAAAUUGCGCGGGGACGGCUAUUGACGCGCUAUCAUUAAGACUUUUUUAAUUAGUCGGCUGGUAGGAAAAAAGGAUGAAGUGUAGCAGCAGGAGCAGAGGCCACCAUCACAGCUACCUAAUGACUGUGUGUCAUCUUCCAUGCAGUACAUUUGGAAAGUCUUCACAGUGCUUUUCAUCUACAAUUGUUUAUGUGAAAGCAGGGGUGGGCAAAGUAUGGCCUGCGAGCAGAGUUGUGUAGUAACAAGCUACAUUUACUCCGUGCCAUUAACUGAAGUAACCUAUUUGAUGAAUUGUACUUAUCAGCCUAGUUUUAAUGCAACAUAGUUUUUACUUUUACUCGAGUACUUUUACUCGAGUAUUUUCAUCAUUCUUUGCCGUUGUAUUGUGCUACAUUCCGCUCGCUGCUUGUACAGAAUUUUAUCUACAGGUUUUUAUUUUUGCUUGCACAAUCCGUUUUGGUCUCGCAAAGAGACUUGUGACAUGACUCUGUUUCACCAGUCCAACUGCUAGUCACGUUUGACUCCAUUUGACCAAUUAAACGGAGCCAAGCAGUCACAUGACCGCGCAGUCGCCCCACACGCGAGCAAAGUUUUCAAUGUGACAUGGCAGGAAUCUAUAUUUACCUAAUAGUUAGGCUGUAGCUCACCGAGACCCGAGUGACCAUAAAACAGUAUGAAAAAAUGGAUGGAUGGACUAUGGGAAAAAAAACAGCUAUCAUCUGUGUCUGCCUAAAAAUGCCGGCAUUUCAGCCUACAGCUCCUCUUGGAAUUUGAGAAACGUACAAGAGGCUCUCACACAUUGCAUUUGCAAAAUGUUCUGCUCUGUUGGCCCAAACCAGCAGGUCAACCAUAUCACGUGAAAGCAAAUUGCAGCUGUGCGCACUGAAGAUCGAUGUAAAUUGGCCGAACUCACUUUGUUUUUGAACAACACUGGUCAACAAGAAUUUGUAUUUAUUUAUUUAUUUUUGCUGAUGCAGGACAAUUUUGAUGUGCUGAAUCCAAAUAUCACAUUGCUUUUGCUCAAUCAGGUCAACUUUUUUUGACUAUGGUCACACUUUUGUUUACAUGUAAAUGUAUUUUUGCUUUAGAGGUUCAAAUAAACGGCUGUUCAUGCCCUGAA
This is a long non-coding RNA of Phyllopteryx taeniolatus (common seadragon), 6006 nucleotides long. RefSeq lists it as uncharacterized. The transcript is spliced from 3 exons. The record is from RefSeq and is a predicted model, not a curated record. NCBI's taxonomy places the organism in Eukaryota, Metazoa, Chordata, Actinopteri, Syngnathiformes, Syngnathidae.